AUACGUAGGGGGCAAGCGUUGUCCGGAAUUACUGGGCGUAAAGAGCUCGUAGGCGGCUCAGCAAGUCGGUCGUGAAAGCCCGAGGCUUAACCUCGGAACUGCGGUCGAUACUGCUGUGGCUAGAGUCCGGUAGAGGAGAGUGGAAUUCCCGGUGUAGCGGUGGAAUGCGCAGAUAUCGGGAGGAACACCAGUGGCGAAGGCGGCUCUCUGGGCCGGUACUGACGCUGAGGAGCGAAAGCGUGGGGAGCAAACAGAAUUAGAAACCCUAGUAGUCC
Molecule: ribosomal RNA, 275 nt
Filed under: uncultured bacterium
Lineage: Bacteria
Description: partial 16S ribosomal RNA
Rfam family: Bacterial small subunit ribosomal RNA
Source: RNAcentral